RNAcentral lists this small nuclear RNA (107 nucleotides) under Bos grunniens (domestic yak). Lineage: Eukaryota; Metazoa; Chordata; Mammalia; Artiodactyla; Bovidae. The record is from RNAcentral.
GUGCUCACUUCGGCAGCACAUAUAUUAAAAUUGGAACGAUACAGAGAAGAUUAGCAUGGCCCCUGUGCAAGGAUGACACGCAAAUUCGUGAAGUGUUCCAUAUUUUU